Molecule: long non-coding RNA, 389 nt
Organism: Cyprinus carpio (common carp)
Lineage: Eukaryota; Metazoa; Chordata; Actinopteri; Cypriniformes; Cyprinidae
Source: Ensembl
UCUACUCUAGAUGUGACCAUCAAUGUUUGGAGCCGUUGCUCUCUGAUGCCCAGCGCUUGGACUCUAAUGAGCAGAUGGUCACCGUGGAGACGGCGUAUUCUGUUCCUAAUGUUAGGAAUCCUGCCUCCACGCCUCCAUCCAACUACGUAGCUGCCCUGCAGAUGCCCGUCUCAGCCACGAUGUACGCAGAUUCAAGAUCGUACAUUACCAUUGAAAUUGCUGUGGAAAAGAGACCACCGGAGGAGCUGGCCAAACGCGACCCGUCCCACUGGUGUGAUUAUGGAGCGUUUCACAUGCUGACCGCUGACCACCUGAAGGCAAAGGAGUGCUUUCAACAGGCCUUAUCCCUCCAGCAAACACACAUACCGAGGGGUGUUCAUAGUUCAUAG